RNAcentral lists this ribosomal RNA (253 nucleotides) under uncultured bacterium. RNAcentral describes it as "partial 16S ribosomal RNA". It matches the Rfam family "Bacterial small subunit ribosomal RNA", at positions 524 to 776 of the family's 1533-position model. The record is from RNAcentral.
UACGGGGGGGGCAAGCGUUGUUCGGAAUUACUGGGCGUAAAGGGCUCGUAGGCGGCCAACUAAGUCAGACGUGAAAUCCCUCGGCUUAACCGGGGAACUGCGUCUGAUACUGGAUGGCUUGAGUUUGGGAGAGGGAUGCGGAAUUCCAGGUGUAGCGGUGAAAUGCGUAGAUAUCUGGAGGAACACCAAUGGCGAAGGCAGCUCGCUGGGACGGUACUGACGCUAAGGCGCGAAAGCGUGGGGAGCAAACAGG